UAGAGUUUGAUCCUGGCUCAGAUUGAACGCUGGCGGCAGGCUUAACACAUGCAAGUCGAACGGUAACAUAAAGAAGCUUGCUUCUUUGAUGACGAGUGGCGGACGGGUGAGUAAUGCUUGGGAAUCUAGCUUAUGGAGGGGGAUAACUACGGGAAACUGUAGCUAAUACCGCGUAGUAUCGGAAGAUGAAAGUGUGGGACCUUCGGGCCACAUGCCAUAGGAUGAGCCCAAGUGGGAUUAGGUAGUUGGUGAGGUAACGGCUCACCUAGGCGACGAUACAUAGCCGACCUGAGAGGGUGAUCGGCCACACUGGGACUGAGACACGGCCCAGACUCCUACGGGAGGCAGCAGUAGGGAAUCUUCGGCAAUGGGGGGAACCCUGACCGAGCAACGCCGCGUGAGUGAAGAAGGUUUUCGGAUCGUAAAGCUCUGUUGUUAAGGAAGAACGAGUGUGAGAAUGGAAAGUUCAUACUGUGACGGUACUUAACCAGAAAGGGACGGCUAACUACGUGCCAGCAGCCGCGGUAAUACGUAGGUCCCGAGCGUUGUCCGGAUUUAUUGGGCGUAAAGCGAGCGCAGGCGGUUAGAUAAGUCUGAAGUUAAAGGCAGUGGCUCAACCAUUGUAGGCUUUGGAAACUGUUUAACUUGAGUGCAGAAGGGGAGAGUGGAAUUCCAUGUGUAGCGGUGAAAUGCGUAGAUAUAUGGAGGAACACCGGUGGCGAAAGCGGCUCUCUGGUCUGUAACUGACGCUGAGGCUCGAAAGCGUGGGGAGCGAACAGGAUUAGAUACCCUGGUAGUCCACGCCGU
This 807-nucleotide ribosomal RNA is filed under the name uncultured bacterium. RNAcentral describes it as "bacterial SSU rRNA". It matches the Rfam family "Bacterial small subunit ribosomal RNA", at positions 1 to 803 of the family's 1533-position model. The record is from RNAcentral.